RNAcentral lists this ribosomal RNA (310 nucleotides) under uncultured Coriobacteriaceae bacterium. RNAcentral describes it as "bacterial SSU rRNA". It matches the Rfam family "Bacterial small subunit ribosomal RNA", at positions 30 to 339 of the family's 1533-position model. The record is from RNAcentral. Lineage: Bacteria; Bacillati; Actinomycetota; Coriobacteriia; Coriobacteriales; Coriobacteriaceae.
UGAACGCUGGCGGCGCGCCUAACACAUGCAAGUCGAACGAGUAAGACGCCUUCGGGCGUGGAUAGAGUGGCGAACGGGUGAGUAACACGUGACCAACCUGCCCCCUCCUCCGGGACAACCUCGGGAAACCGAGGCUAAUACCGGAUACUCCGGGCACCCCGCAUGGGAUGCCCGGGAAAGCCCUGGCGGGAGGGGAUGGGGUCGCGGCCCAUUAGGUAGACGGCGGGGUAACGGCCCACCGUGCCCGCGAUGGGUAGCCGGGUUGAGAGACCGAUCGGCCACAUUGGGACUGAAACACGGUCCAAACUCC